CGCGCCGCAGGCGAUCCGCGCGCCCCAGCCGCUCGGGUCGGUGGCGGGCAGCCGGCGCCGCGGGUCGACGGCGAGUUCGAUCCCGCCGUCGCGC
RNAcentral lists this transfer RNA (94 nucleotides) under Nonomuraea sp. TT08I-71. RNAcentral describes it as "tRNA-Pro". The record is from RNAcentral. Lineage: Bacteria; Bacillati; Actinomycetota; Actinomycetes; Streptosporangiales; Streptosporangiaceae.